Molecule: ribosomal RNA, 477 nt
Filed under: uncultured bacterium
Lineage: Bacteria
Description: partial 16S ribosomal RNA
Rfam family: Bacterial small subunit ribosomal RNA
Source: RNAcentral
GAUUAACGCUGGCGGCGUGCAUAACACAUGCAAGUCGAACGAUGAAACUUAGUAGACUUCUUCGGAAAGACACUAAGCGGAUUAGUGGCGAACGGGUGAGUAACGCGUGAGUAACCUGCCUUACACAAGGGGAUAGCCUUUAGAAACGAAGAAUAAUACCCUAUAAAACCAUAAAAGCACAUGCUAGAAUGGUCAAAGUGAUAGCGGUGUAAGAUGGACUUGCGUCUGAUUAGCUAGUUGGUGAGAUAAAAGCUCACCAAGGCAACGAUCAGUAGCCGGCUUGAGAGAGUGUACGGCCACAUUGGGACUGAGACACGGCCCAGACUCCUACGGGAGGCAGCAGUGGGGAAUUUUGCACAAUGGGGGAAACCCUGAUGCAGCGACGCCGCGUGAUUUAGAAGGCCUUCGGGUUGUAAAAAUCUUUUGUAUAGGAAGAAAAUGACAGUACUAUACGAAUAAGGUCCGGCUAAUUACGUG